Molecule: RNA transcript, 1604 nt
Organism: Erinaceus europaeus (western European hedgehog)
Lineage: Eukaryota; Metazoa; Chordata; Mammalia; Eulipotyphla; Erinaceidae
Exons: 11
Source: RefSeq, a predicted model, not a curated record
CCUUGCGAUUAGAAACAACAGCUCCCAGGCCCUCAGGCUGGUCGGGCUCAUGCAAAUCACCCACCAUUGUUUCCCAGGUGUGGAGGAAAGUCCUGCCCAUUUCCUGACCUGCAAGCUGUCUUGUCAUGCUCCCCUCAGAAACAGAGAUGCAAGUGCCACUCGUGGAAGUCAAAGCCAUAUCUUUUUCUUCUAAUUUAAAUAUUGUUAUUUUAUCAAACUUUGAACGCUUACCUAUAAUCUACAAAAUGGACAUUGCAUAUUUGUGAUCCAGGGGUCCAGAGUCUAGUGUUUUGGGAGGAGAGAAGAUUCACACACUGUCAGAGUAACUGAGCUAAGACUCAAAUAGAAAGCAAAGAGAUGCUGUCCGUAUAAAUCUGAACAAACCCAAGACAUCACUAUCUAUAUUAGAUCAACAAAUCCUCUCAGUCCCUGGGCUAGUGGAAGAAUGAGCAGCAAAAGUGAAAUUCCUUGUAACAGAGGCAGAGAAAGCCAACAUGAAGGAAACGGUAACACCGUGGAGGCCAGACUUGAACAUGGGUCACACACAUGGCAAAGGGACGCAAGAAACCAGCACUUUCACUGGGAAUCUCUGGACCCAGGAUUUUCUCUUUCCGGGAAAACCACUCAUGGUUCUGGACUCAGGUCUGGGUGUGGACCCCAGGCAAACCAGCACUAAAGAACAGGGGAGCCCCUCUGCUGAGAAGGUGUGGUCCAGAGAACAAGGAUUCCACUUACUCACAUUCAUGGCAUUUGGAUCCUUUUCUGAGAUUCCAGUGACAAUUUCAAAGUCAAGCACCUCUGCUCUUGAAAAGGUCUCAGACAAUCUUGCUCACACCAUGCCAAUCACAGCCUCCCCAUGUAGAUGGAAGGACAUCCUGGGAUGUCUUCGUGGUCACAGCAAGCAGGACCACUGGAGUGUCUUUCUUGGAUCCACAAAAGGCUCAUGGAAAAAAGCCCUCAACUGUUUAAACCUGAAGACCACUACAGGUCUGAAAAUAGAGUUCUGGCACCUCAAGGACAGUCAGUUCCAAAGAACAAAACAAACUCUUCAGAAGGAUCAUCACCACCAUAACAAAGAAACCAGAGCAGAAAACCUGGAACUUCAAACAUCCACCGUGUUUGCAACCCCAGCUUUUAUCGGUGCUCAUUAAGAGAGCUGGAGCAUGACAGGAAUACACGGUGGCGAUGAGGGAGCAUGGAAGACACAAUGUUUACAAAACCAUUUGCUUCUCAAGGGGGAGAGGAGUUUGAAUUGUACAGCAAGGAGGCAAAAUGGCAAAGUGAGAAUGGAGAACAAUUACUCACCUAUGGAGUCAAAGGUUCCAGAUGCUAGCAUGAUGUCGACCAGAUUUCCCUGGACAGACAACCCCACCAAUGUGUCCUGGAGCUCCGCUUCCCUAGAGCCCUUCCCCACUAGGAAAAGAGAGAGACAGACUGGAAGUAUGGAUUGACCUGUCAAUGCCCAUGCUCAGCUGGGAAGCAAUUACAGAGCCAGACCUUCCAUCUUCUGCAUCCCACAAUGACCUUGGGUCCAUCUCCCAAAGGGUUAAAGAAUAGGAAAGCUUUCAGGGGAGGGGAUGGGAUAUGGAGUUCUGGUGGUGGGA